GGACUACAAGGGUUUCUAAUCCCGUUCGCUCCCCUAGCUUUCGUGUUUGAGCGUCAGGUGCAGUCCAGGUGGCCGCUUUCGCCACUGGUGUUCCUCCGGAUCUCUACGCAUUUCACCACUACACCCGGAAUUCCACCACCCUCUACUGCCCUCUAGUCUCGCAGUAUCGGACAACCUCCCCCGGUUGAGCCGAAGGAUUUCAUGCCCGACUUGCCAAACCGCCUGAACACGCUUUACGCCCAGUAAAUCCGGAUAACGCUCGGUACCUACGUUUUACCGCGGCUGCUGGCAC
Molecule: ribosomal RNA, 292 nt
Filed under: uncultured bacterium
Lineage: Bacteria
Description: partial 16S ribosomal RNA
Source: RNAcentral